This 481-nucleotide ribosomal RNA is filed under the name uncultured Bacillus sp. RNAcentral describes it as "bacterial SSU rRNA". It matches the Rfam family "Bacterial small subunit ribosomal RNA", at positions 387 to 859 of the family's 1533-position model. Lineage: Bacteria; Bacillati; Bacillota; Bacilli; Caryophanales; Bacillaceae. The record is from RNAcentral.
CGGAGCAACGCCGCGUGAGCGAUGAAGGCCUUCGGGUCGUAAAGCUCUGUUGUCAGGGAAGAACAAGUACCGGAGUAACUGCCGGUACCUUGACGGUACCUGACCAGAAAGCCACGGCUAACUACGUGCCAGCAGCCGCGGUAAUACGUAGGUGGCAAGCGUUGUCCGGAAUUAUUGGGCGUAAAGCGCGCGCAGGCGGUUCCUUAAGUCUGAUGUGAAAGCCCCCGGCUCAACCGGGGAGGGUCAUUGGAAACUGGGGAACUUGAGUGCAGAAGAGGAGAGCGGAAUUCCACGUGUAGCGGUGAAAUGCGUAGAGAUGUGGAGGAACACCAGUGGCGAAGGCGGCUCUCUGGUCUGUAACUGACGCUGAGGCGCGAAAGCGUGGGGAGCGAACAGGAUUAGAUACCCUGGUAGUCCACGCCGUAAACGAUGAGUGCUAAGUGUUAGAGGGUUUCCGCCCUUUAGUGCUGCAGCAAACGCA